RNAcentral lists this transfer RNA (72 nucleotides) under Escherichia coli. RNAcentral's name for it is "tRNA-Glu". It matches the Rfam family "tRNA". From Rfam's summary of the family: Transfer RNA (tRNA) molecules are approximately 80 nucleotides in length. Their secondary structure includes four short double-helical elements and three loops (D, anti-codon, and T loops). Lineage: Bacteria; Pseudomonadati; Pseudomonadota; Gammaproteobacteria; Enterobacterales; Enterobacteriaceae. RNAcentral also lists the same sequence under 2 other names. The record is from RNAcentral.
GCGGGUGUCGUAUAAUGGUUAUUACCUCAACCUUUCAGGUUGAUGAUGUGGGUUCGAUUCCCGCUACUCGCU